This 751-nucleotide ribosomal RNA is filed under the name Salmonella enterica. Its description in RNAcentral is "partial 23S ribosomal RNA". It matches the Rfam family "Bacterial large subunit ribosomal RNA", at positions 711 to 1459 of the family's 2925-position model. Lineage: Bacteria; Pseudomonadati; Pseudomonadota; Gammaproteobacteria; Enterobacterales; Enterobacteriaceae. The record is from RNAcentral.
AGACCCGAAACCCGGUGAUCUAGCCAUGGGCAGGUUGAAGGUUGGGUAACACUAACUGGAGGACCGAACCGACUAAUGUUGAAAAAUUAGCGGAUGACCUGUGGCUGGGGGUGAAAGGCCAAUCAAACCGGGAGAUAGCUGGUUCUCCCCGAAAGCUAUUUAGGUAGCGCCUCGUGAAUUCAUCUCCGGGGGUAGAGCACUGUUUCGGCUAGGGGGCCAUCCCGGCUUACCAACCCGAUGCAAACUGCGAAUACCGGAGAAUGUUAUCACGGGAGACACACGGCGGGUGCUAACGUCCGUCGUGAAGAGGGAAACAACCCAGACCGCCAGCUAAGGUCCCAAAGUCAUGGUUAAGUGGGAAACGAUGUGGGAAGGCCCAGACAGCCAGGAUGUUGGCUUAGAAGCAGCCAUCAUUUAAAGAAAGCGUAAUAGCUCACUGGUCGAGUCGGCCUGCGCGGAAGAUGUAACGGGGCUAAACCAUGCACCGAAGCUGCGGCAGCGACACUGUGUGUUGUUGGGUAGGGGAGCGUUCUGUAAGCCUGUGAAGGUGUGUCGUGAGGCAUGCUGGAGGUAUCAGAAGUGCGAAUGCUGACAUAAGUAACGAUAAAGCGGGUGAAAAGCCCGCUCGCCGGAAGACCAAGGGUUCCUGUCCAACGUUAAUCGGGGCAGGGUGAGUCGACCCCUAAGGCGAGGCCGAAAGGCGUAGUCGAUGGGAAACGGGUUAAUAUUCCCGUACUUGGUGUUACUGCGA